AGUGAACGCUGGCGGUAGGCCUAACACAUGCAAGUCGAACGGCAGCACAGUAAGAGCUUGCUCUUACGGGUGGCGAGUGGCGGACGGGUGAGGAAUACAUCGGAAUCUACUUUUUCGUGGGGGAUAACGUAGGGAAACUUACGCUAAUACCGCAUACGACCUACGGGUGAAAGCAGGGGAUCUUCGGACCUUGCGCGAUUGAAUGAGCCGAUGUCGGAUUAGCUAGUUGGCGGGGUAACGGCCCACCAAGGCGACGAUCCGUAGCUGGUCUGAGAGGAUGAUCAGCCACACUGGAACUGAGACACGGUCCAGACUCCUACGGGAGGCAGCAGUGGGGAAUAUUGGACAAUGGGCGCAAGCCUGAUCCAGCCAUACCGCGUGGGUGAAGAAGGCCCUCGGGUUGUAAAGCCCUUUUGUUGGGAAAGAAAAGCAGCAGGUUAAUACCCCGCUGUUCUGACGGUACCCAAAGAAUAAGCACCGGCUAACUUCGUG
Molecule: ribosomal RNA, 492 nt
Filed under: uncultured bacterium
Lineage: Bacteria
Description: partial 16S ribosomal RNA
Rfam family: Bacterial small subunit ribosomal RNA
Source: RNAcentral